AGUGAACGCUGGCGGUAGGCCUAACACAUGCAAGUCGAACGGCAGCACAGUAAGAGCUUGCUCUUACGGGUGGCGAGUGGCGGACGGGUGAGGAAUACAUCGGAAUCUACUUUUUCGUGGGGGAUAACGUAGGGAAACUUACGCUAAUACCGCAUACGACCUACGGGUGAAAGCAGGGGAUCUUCGGACCUUGCGCGAUUGAAUGAGCCAAUGUCGGAUUAGCUAGUUGGCGGGGUAAAGGCCCACCAAGGCGACGAUCCGUAGCUGGUCUGAGAGGAUGAUCAGCCACACUGGAACUGAGAAAAGGUCCAGACUCCUACGGGAGGCAGCAGUGGGGAAUAUUGGACAAUGGGCGCAAGCCUGAUCCAGCCAUACCGCGUGGGUGAAGAAGGCCUUCGGGUUGUAAAGCCCUUUUGUUGGGAAAGAAAAGCAGCAGGUUAAUACCCCGCUGUUCUGACGGUACCCAAAGAAUAAGCACCGGCUAACUUCGUG
This 492-nucleotide ribosomal RNA is filed under the name uncultured bacterium. RNAcentral describes it as "partial 16S ribosomal RNA". It matches the Rfam family "Bacterial small subunit ribosomal RNA", at positions 29 to 507 of the family's 1533-position model. The record is from RNAcentral.